This 222-nucleotide unclassified non-coding RNA is filed under the name Westerdykella dispersa. RNAcentral describes it as "partial internal transcribed spacer region". The stretch from base 1 to 46 matches the Rfam family "Eukaryotic small subunit ribosomal RNA", at positions 1786 to 1831 of the family's 1831-position model. Lineage: Eukaryota; Fungi; Ascomycota; Dothideomycetes; Pleosporales; Sporormiaceae. The record is from RNAcentral. RNAcentral also lists the same sequence under 1 other name.
AAGUCGUAACAAGGUUUCCGUAGGUGAACCUGCGGAAGGAUCAUUAUCGUGGAGCUUCGGCUCCUUCGAGGGAGAACCCUUGCCUUUUCGAGCACCUGUUUGUUUCCUCGGCAGGCCCGCCUGCCAACGGGGACCAUUUAAACUCUUGCAAUCAACCUGAACAAAAUCGUCUGAACAAAAAAAACUAAAUCAAAACUUUCAACAACGGAUCUCUUGGUUCUG